AGAGGGUGCGAGCGUUAAUCGGAAUUACUGGGCGUAAAGGGCGCGUAGGUGGUGACCGAAGUCUGCUGUGAAAUACCCGGGCUUAACCUGGGAUGGUCAGCAGAAACCUGGUGACUAGAGUCGAUAAGAGGGUAGAGGAAUUUCCGGUGUAGCGGUGAAAUGCGUAGAUAUCGGAAGGAACAUCAGUGGCGAAGGCGUCUACCUGGCAGAAGACUGACACUGAGGCGCGAAAGCGUGGGGAGCGAACAGGGAUUAGAUACCCUGGUAGUCCACGCCGUAAACGAUGAGAACUAGCUGUUUGUCGUAUAGAAACGAUAAGUGGCGCAGCUAACGCGUUAAGUUCUCCGCCUGGGGAGUACGGCCGCAAGGCUA
This 372-nucleotide ribosomal RNA is filed under the name uncultured organism. Its description in RNAcentral is "partial 16S ribosomal RNA". It matches the Rfam family "Bacterial small subunit ribosomal RNA", at positions 527 to 896 of the family's 1533-position model. The record is from RNAcentral.